RNAcentral lists this ribosomal RNA (254 nucleotides) under uncultured bacterium. RNAcentral describes it as "partial 16S ribosomal RNA". It matches the Rfam family "Bacterial small subunit ribosomal RNA", at positions 524 to 776 of the family's 1533-position model. The record is from RNAcentral.
UACGUAGGCAGCGAGGCGUUGUUCGGAGUUACUGGGCGUAAAGCGUGCGUAGGCGGUUGUCUAAGUUUGGUGUGAAAUCUCCCGGCUUAACUGGGAGGGUGCGCCGAAAACUGGGAUGACUGGAGUGUCGGAGAGGUAAGCGGAAUUCCUGGUGUAGCGGUGAAAUGCGUAGAGAUCAGGAGGAACACCUGUGGUGUAGACAGCUUACUGGACGAUAACUGACGCUGAGGCACGAAGCGUGGGUAGCAAACAGG